UAGCGCUAAUACCGGAUACUUAAAUAUCUCGCAUGAGGUAUUUAUAAAAGGAGCCUUUAAAGCUUCACAAGGGGAUCGGGGUGCGUAACAUUAGCUAGUUGGUGAGGUAAUGGCUCACCAAGGCGAUGAUGUUUAGCGGGGUUGAGAGACUGAUCCGCCACACUGGGACUGAGAUACGGCCCAGACUCCUACGGGAGGCAGCAGUAGGGAAUUUUCCACAAUGGGCGAAAGCCUGAUGGAGCGACACAGCGUGCAGGAUGAAGGCCUUCGGGUUGUAAACUGCUGUUAUAAGGGAAGAAAAAGUCGAGGAGGAAAUGCCUUGACCUUGACGGUACCUUAUCAGAAAGCAACGGCUAACUAUGUGCCAGCAGCCGCGGUAAUACAUAGGUCGCAAGCGGUUAUCCGAAAGCAACGGCU
This 417-nucleotide ribosomal RNA is filed under the name Mycoplasmopsis gallinacea. RNAcentral's name for it is "bacterial SSU rRNA". It matches the Rfam family "Bacterial small subunit ribosomal RNA", at positions 158 to 546 of the family's 1533-position model. Lineage: Bacteria; Bacillati; Mycoplasmatota; Mycoplasmoidales; Metamycoplasmataceae. The record is from RNAcentral.